Molecule: ribosomal RNA, 497 nt
Filed under: uncultured bacterium
Lineage: Bacteria
Description: partial 16S ribosomal RNA
Rfam family: Bacterial small subunit ribosomal RNA
Source: RNAcentral
GAUGAACGCUGGCGGCGUGCCUAAUACAUGCAAGUCGAGCGGACAGACGAGGAGCUUGCUCCUUCGACGUUAGCGGCGGACGGGUGAGUAACACGUAGGUAACCUACCUAUAAGACUGGGAUAACUUCGGGAAACUGGAGCUAAUACCGGAUAAUAUUUCGAACCGCAUGGUUCGAUAGUGAAAGAUGGCUUUGCUAUCACUUAUAGAUGGACCUGCGCUGUAUUAGCUAGUUGGUAAGGUAACGGCUUACCAAGGCAACGAUACGUAGCCGACCUGAGAGGGUGAUCGGCCACACUGGAACUGAGACACGGUCCAGACUCCUACGGGAGGCAGCAGUAGGGAAUCUUCCGCAAUGGGCGAAAGCCUGACGGAGCAACGCCGCGUGAGUGAUGAAGGUCUUCGGAUCGUAAAACUCUGUUAUUAGGGAAGAACAAACGUGUAAGUAACUGUGCACGUCUUGACGGUACCUAAUCAGAAAGCCACGGCUAACUACGUG